GAAAUGUUAGUACUGGAUUGAGCGAAGAAACUAUAUUAAACCGGCUAAAGCAGCGGAAAUAUUCUAUUGCAGUAAGGAGUGAGGUGGAGGCAGAACCUUGUUGCGUUUGUCAGGAGGAAUACAAUGAUGGAGAAGAUGUUGGAACACUGGACUGUGGGCAUGAUUUUCACACUGACUGUAUUAAACAAUGGCUGAUGCUCAAGAAUUGGUGCCCCAUUUGUAAAACAACAGGGCUUGGUACUUGAUAAGUUAUUUUGAUGAUUAGGCGAUUAGAUUAUGCUCAGAAUAUGAAGAAAGAAAGUUGGUGAUUGAACUCAUUAUCCUGGUGAGUGUCAUGUUUUGUCCAUUUGGACUAAAUCUAUGGCAUGACUCACCAGAGCAAGGCAUUUGUUUUUCAAAAGAAACAAAUUCCAUGGUGAUGAUUCAACUGUCUGUCGUAAGGAAAUAUUGGAGUGCAAAACUGGUUUUGAAUAUUUUAAUCUGUUGUCAUUGAACAAUUAGUUUCUGUGGGAUAUUCAUUGUGCCACCCUCCCUCCUUUUUAUUUUAUUUAUUUAGGUGCCAAUAUGUCUUUCUUUAUAUUCGGAGUUGCGACAUUUUGGGCAGGUCGAGCUCAUUUUAUUUUAUUUUUUAUUCGCCUGCCCAAAAUGUCGCAACUCCCAAUAU
Molecule: unclassified non-coding RNA, 664 nt
Filed under: Hevea brasiliensis (rubber tree)
Lineage: Eukaryota; Viridiplantae; Streptophyta; Magnoliopsida; Malpighiales; Euphorbiaceae
Source: RNAcentral